RNAcentral lists this ribosomal RNA (466 nucleotides) under uncultured bacterium. Its description in RNAcentral is "partial 16S ribosomal RNA". It matches the Rfam family "Bacterial small subunit ribosomal RNA", at positions 28 to 507 of the family's 1533-position model. The record is from RNAcentral.
GAUGAACGCUGGCGGCGUGCUUAACACAUGCAAGUCGAACGAUGAAGCCCAGCUUGCUGGGUGGAUUAGUGGCGAACGGGUGAGUAACACGUGAGUAACCUGCCCUUGACUCUGGGAUAAGCCUGGGAAACUGGGUCUAAUACUGGAUAUGACUUCUCAUCGCAUGGUGGGGGGUGGAAAGAUUUAUUGGUCUUGGAUGGACUCGCGGCCUAUCAGCUUGUUGGUGAGGUAAUGGCUCACCAAGGCGACGACGGGUAGCCGGCCUGAGAGGGUGACCGGCCACACUGGGACUGAGACACGGCCCAGACUCCUACGGGAGGCAGCAGUGGGGAAUAUUGCACAAUGGGCGCAAGCCUGAUGCAGCGACGCCGCGUGAGGGAUGACGGCCUUCGGGUUGUAAACCUCUUUCAGUAGGGAAGAAGCGAGAGUGACGGUACCUGCAGAAGAAGCGCCGGCUAACCACGUG